RNAcentral lists this long non-coding RNA (3189 nucleotides) under Nicotiana tabacum (common tobacco). Its description in RNAcentral is "long non-coding RNA (NTAB_LNC000168)". Lineage: Eukaryota; Viridiplantae; Streptophyta; Magnoliopsida; Solanales; Solanaceae. The record is from RNAcentral.
AAAGCAAGCAUCGCGCCGCCGUCGUCGCUCGGCUCGGCUUCGGCUUCGGCUUCGGCUUUGAAUUUGGUAACAAGAUAACUUUUACCGCAUCCAAAAAUAGCAGCAAAAAGUGGGUUCAACUGCACCGCAAAACAACAGCAAAGGCGUCAAUUGUAAUAUUUAGAAGUGGCAACAAAAAUGUGUUCAACAAUGGUAAAUAGGUCUGCCACAACACUCCAAAUCAACAACAGAACUGCUUUCAAUUAUAAAAUAUAUAUUUCCGGAGAGCAUAACAAAGUAGUGUGGGACCUAUUGUAGAGUCCUUGGCUGUAUUAACAUUUACUUUUGCAAGAAAAACUUCCAUACAUGAGUACUCUUCUAUCACAUGUAUUAUAUAUGUAUCUCUAUGAGAUACAAAAAUCUGAUCACAUUAUUGUGGUGCCUUAGUGCUAGUAAUAAUCUGGCACUAUUUUAAACACUAUAACUUUAUAUUAGAAGCUAGAGAUCGAUGGCUACACGAAAUCAAACUUCUUUCUUUCAUAAUUCUUGGUUGCAAUUUCAUUUUUAUCUAUAUCGUUUUUGUCACCUAAAACAAAACAAAACAUUUAGUAAAAAAGUUAUAAAAUUAAAAAUCGAGGAAACAAUCCAUAAACUAAUAAUUGAAAUAUUUUAGAGUUAUUACUUUAUACACUUCUAAUUUGAGAUUACAAAGCAAAUAAUACUAAGUAGAUAUGUUGUACAUCAAUUAAAAUUGCUAGAACUUUGCAAGAGAAAAUUAAACAAUGCUAAAAGAUGCAAGAACAGGUGUAUGUAGAAACUACACAUGUAUUGGGCUAUUUUUUUGAUUUUUAUCAGGUGGCAUAAGUCUAUAUAAUUUGCGUCUCCUGGUCCUUUUGUCAUCACGUGUUUUUUCAAAGGUCUGAUCAUUUUCAUGAUUUCUAUCCGCCAUUAAGGCAACUUUUCUAUUGCCUGAAUAUUUUUCUAAUGACCAGUGCUUAAAAAAGGAAAAAAAUUAUAAUUUUAGCUAUAUGUUUAUCAUCGAUGAAUGAUAGGCGUACAAGGUAUGUAAGUUAAAUUGUAUUGGCAUAUACCGCAAAGUAAAGCAUCUCAGGUAAAGAUAUUUCUAUUAUAUGCAUAGCUACAUAACUAAUUUUGGAUAGAAUAUAUUACCUUGUAAUAAAAAAGAGUUAAAGUAUGAUUGAGACGAUCUGAAAUGAAUAAAAUAAAUAAAUAUUUUACUCAUCAAAAAUAAUAAAGGUAAAUAAAUGUCAAACGAUUUAGAUAGACAGAGCAAAUGGUUUUUCAAAAAUGAACAACUUUGCCAACACCUCCUUAAUACGAAAAAGGUAAGUGAAAAAAAUUAAAUCCAGCAAAAGAGCAGUACUUACUACCAGUGAUUUGCCACUAAAACGCACGAACAAACAUCUAUUACAACACAACAAAGAUCGAAACCUGUAAUUAAAACAAAACAAACCAAAAUAGGAAACUGUCAAUAAUGAUCUCGUAUAAGUGGUUUCUAUAUGCUGAGUGAAAAAAAAUAUUUUAUUUACCGGCUAAUGAGAAAAUAAAUUAGUGUAUAGGUAUGGACUCAUCAGAUGUAGCCAACAGCUUUUGUUCAAAGAAGUCAUGGCAACAAUUAGCCGAUGAAUACGUUAAAGAAUUAUCAACAAUGACUUUCUUAAGCCAGCUAUUUUCUGAUGAACUAACACUAACAAAUACAUUUGAAUAUAUUACAGAGAAGAAUGAUGACAAAGAAACAUUAAUUAUAAAGAACUGAAGUAAAAAAUCUCAUGUAACUAUGUAAAAGAAGAUAGUAAAAAGAAAGAAGAGAGGAACAACGAGGCGGCCUGCAAAGAACACUCUCUUCUUUGGAUCUCUAAUACAGAAGUUUUUAGAAAAGUCCUUUUUUUUCCUUCCAUAUUCGUAUUUCCCUUAUACCUUUGAUUUCUUGUGAGAAUUAACUUAAUUUUUUAGAUGUUUACCAUGAGAAGUUUUCAUGCUUUCCAAAAAUCACUAAUACUAAAAAGGAAAACCACAACAUAUGAAUCUCCUCUAUUGAUAAACAUAUGGCUCCUAAAACAUGAGAAAACAAACAACUACAAUGUUACAUCUAAAAGGGAGAUUAUUUCUUUUAUUCUAAGAAACUUCACCCCUCAACAUCACUAAAUAUCACUAAUACUAAAAGGGAAAAUUACAAUAUAUGAAUCUCCUCUAUUGAUAAACAUAUGACUCCUAAGACAGGAACAAACAAAAUGUUACAUCUAAAGGGGGAUUAUUUCUUUUUAUUCUAAGAAACUUCACCCCUCCAUUCUGUUCCCAACAACAUUUUUAUGUAGAGACUGGUGGCCUAAAAAGAAAGGUGAAAAACUUUUCAUACAAAGACCAAAGAUGAUACAUAUUUGCCUGCACUAACUUAGCCCCUAAAAAAUAAAAGUUUUACAAAGAUUAAAACAAUGACCAUACAAAGGACUCAAUGUCUACAUUACCAAUUUUACUACAUCAAAAGAGUAAAAAAAAUUAAUUAGAAAUACUUAGAAUCAUGGUCAUGGACAAUUAGGAUUUCUACAAGGUCCACCAUAGUAAAAGUAGUUCCCCCCACCACCCCCAGUUGUUAUUGAGUCCUUUUUUCUCUCUCUUUUGGUUAAAACUCUCUUCUUUGGAUCUCUAAUACAAAAGUUUUUAGAAAAAUCUUUUUUUUUCUCUCAUUUUAGCAUUUCCCUCAUACUUUUAUUUUUUCGAAUUUCUACCAUCUUUGCCUUUUCUAUAUAGUAGACAUAUUAUUAAUACUCAAAUUCAAAACAUAAAUAAAGAUCAUACAAAAAUAACAGAAGAAAAAGGAUUAAGCCAAAGAACAUUGGGGAGAUAGUUUGACAUAAAUAAUCUCUUUCAAAUACAAUGACCCAUAUAUUUCAGACAUGAAAUUUGGAAAUGGUAGUAGGCUUGGGAAAAUAAUUGAGGGGAAAAAGUGGAAGAAAAUCAGAUCUGAAGUUGGAACACUCAUUCAACAUGAAAUCAUUUUAUUUUUUUGAAAAGAAGUGGAAGAAGAUUAAAGAAAAGUUACUGAUCUAGUGGAGAAGAUGAAUUAAACCCACACAAAUCCUUCAAAAUAUACUGACUGGGAGUAAAUAAAUGUAUAAAAGAAACUGUUGGAGAGUUCUAGGAUAUUGGGUUUGGUUGGAUAAAAAAGCAGAUGAAAGUGGAGGAGAAUUC